UUUCCUCCGCAAGGUUCGUCCACGGAGGGUGAGUCAGGGCCUAAGAUCAGGCCGAAAGGCGUAGUUGAUGGACAACAGGUCAAUAUUCCUGUACUACCCCUUGUUGGUACGGAGGGACGGAGGAGGCUAGGUUAGCCAAAAGAUGGUUAUAGGUUUAAGGACACAAGGUGACCCUGCUUUUUCAGAAGAUGGUUCGGUUGCUCCUGCUGGAAUAUUCCAUUUAUUUAAUACUCCGACUCGCGUAACCCCGAA
RNAcentral lists this non-coding RNA (252 nucleotides) under Triticum aestivum (bread wheat). RNAcentral describes it as "Bacterial large subunit ribosomal RNA". It matches the Rfam family "Bacterial large subunit ribosomal RNA", at positions 1351 to 1614 of the family's 2925-position model. The record is from Rfam by way of RNAcentral. Lineage: Eukaryota; Viridiplantae; Streptophyta; Magnoliopsida; Poales; Poaceae.